Molecule: ribosomal RNA, 238 nt
Filed under: uncultured bacterium
Lineage: Bacteria
Description: partial 16S ribosomal RNA
Rfam family: Bacterial small subunit ribosomal RNA
Source: RNAcentral
GAUCCUGGCUCAGGAUGAACGCUAGCGACAGGCUUAACACAUGCAAGUCGAGGGGCAGCACAGGUAGCAAUACCGGGUGGCGACCGGCGCACGGGUGAGUAACGCGUAUGCAACUUACCUAUCAGAGGGGGAGUAACCCGGCGAAAGUCGGACUAAUACCGCAUGAAGCAGGGGCCCCGCAUGGGGAUAUUUGCUAAAGAUUUAUCGCUGAUAGAUAGGCAUGCGUUCCAUUAGGCAG